This 979-nucleotide long non-coding RNA is filed under the name Phoenix dactylifera (date palm). Its description in RNAcentral is "long non-coding RNA (PDAC_LNC015058)". Lineage: Eukaryota; Viridiplantae; Streptophyta; Magnoliopsida; Arecales; Arecaceae. The record is from RNAcentral.
GGGAGGAGCUAGAAACAUUGAUCCGGAAAGGAGGAAGCUGCGGGAUCACUGGAAAGCAUCACGGGAUGCUGGGAGCUGACUCGGAAUUCCUUCUUUGGACCACGGAAGCGUGGGAGGCAUCACGGGAUGGACGUAGGAGGCUGAAGAGCGCUGCCGGAUACUUGGAUGCGGGAAUGGAAUGAGCUGUAGACGCUGCUGGGAGGAAGAAGAACAGUGAAGUAAAAAAAAUCCCGUAACACUGUUCAUAUGAACAGUGUUUUUACAUAACACUCUUCAUAUGAACAGUGUUUUCACGGAACACUGUUCAUAUGAACAGUAUCAUCUCGGAACACUGUUCAUAUGAACAGUGAUUUCAGCAUGAAUAGUAAUUUCAGGAAUGAAUAUUAUUUUUAGCUAUUCUUCAUGGGAUUGGAGAUUAAAAAGUUCUUUUUCUUUGUGAUGAAGUGAGAGUGGGAAUCUUUAUUUCGGAAGAGUGCGGAUGCUAAUCCGGAAAGAAAGGAACGCGAGGAUCACUGGGAGAUCGCACGCGGGUUCGGAUGUUUGGGUGCAAAUGUGCUUGAUCAGAUCAUGACAGGAUUGGGCCCGUGCGGUUUGGGGCUAUGAUGCAUCCCUCUAAACCCUACCAAAUGCGCAUUUAAACUUUAAUUUAUACUAACCUGUGUCAAACCCAAAUAUAAUAUUAUUUAAGUAAAUUUAUUAUUAUCGGUUAGCAAAAACACUAAUUUUGGUGACAUGUAGUCGCACUUUUGUGCUCUCAUCACACCCCCCAACUAGCUUAUUGCUAGUCUCUAGCAAUUAACAAGCAAACGAUAAAAUGAGGGCACAAAAAGAUGUAGUCUAACUUAUAAUUUUUUCUCUUUUUUUUAAAAAAAAAAUUGAAGCUAAAUACACAAACUAAGAUAUGUACCCAUUUUCGUAGGGAGUCACGAUUGCACUUAGCACGUGCAACAAGCCUUUAAACCCCUAGGUUACCCUAGUG